UUUAGGAAUUUAUUUAAGGUUUAAUCUGCUCAAUGAGGAGUUAAAUUGCCGCGGUAUUUUGACCGUGCAAAGGUAGCAUAAUAAUUAGUUUUUUAAUUGAAAGCUGGAAUGAAUGAUUGGACGAGGGGGUUUCUGUCUCUUGUUUAUUUUUUUUUGAAUUUAAUUUUUAAGUAAAAAAGCUUAAAUUUAUUUUAAAGACGAGAAGACCCUAUAGAGUUUUAUAAUAAGAUUUAAUAUUAAGUUUAGGAAUUGAAUAAUUUUUAUGAAAUUUUUAUUAUUUGAUUGGGGUGAUUUGAAGAUUUAAUUAACUCUUUAUUUUUUAAUCAAUGAUUUUUGAAUAUGUGAUCCAAUUUUUUUUGAAUUUAAUAUAAAUUACCUUAGGGAUAACAGCGUAAUUUUCUUUUUGAGUUCUAAUUGGAUGGAAAGUUUGCGACCUCGAUGUUGGAUUAAAAAUAGUUUUUGGUGCAGAAGCU
Molecule: ribosomal RNA, 473 nt
Filed under: Cussolenis attenuatus
Lineage: Eukaryota; Metazoa; Arthropoda; Insecta; Coleoptera; Elateridae
Description: partial 16S ribosomal RNA
Source: RNAcentral